Molecule: transfer RNA, 26 nt
Filed under: Xantusia gracilis
Lineage: Eukaryota; Metazoa; Chordata; Lepidosauria; Squamata; Xantusiidae
Description: partial tRNA-Ser
Source: RNAcentral
AAGGAAUGUNUUACAACAAAAAGAAC